Non-coding RNA from Mus caroli (Ryukyu mouse), 1080 nucleotides. NCBI's taxonomy places the organism in Eukaryota, Metazoa, Chordata, Mammalia, Rodentia, Muridae. The record is from RefSeq and is a predicted model, not a curated record.
UUUAUACUUGUUCUUCUUGAUCACAGUUGAUUGGCAUGCUGCUGGCUUGCUGUCUGUCCCGGUUCAUCACUGCCAAUCAGUAUGAGAUGGUGUAAAGAGAAGUCUUUCAAGAACUUUGGAAUAAGAGGCCUGUUUUUAAAAAGGAACUGCCGCAAUCUCUGAAAGACUUCCAAAGAACGUUAGAGCACAGUACAUACUAUCCCUGCCCUGCUCCCACCCCCAGCUCCCUGCAACCCCUCCCCCUACGUGCAACUGACACUCCUACCCAGUCAAAGCUCUGCCUUUCAGCCCACGUCAUACGUAGUGUCCAUCUUGUGAAGCCCUGUUGUGCCCCACAGUGUAGCCAGGCCCCCUGCAGCUAGUCAUAGUGAAGCCCGCCCUAAGGCCCUGUGAGUGCCAGCUCCCUCACACGUACUUGGUCCGACCUGUAGGUGACUGGUUAUCACAUCUUCACUGGCCCCUGUGGCCCUGCAUGUAGUAGGGGAGGCUUCAGUCAGCCCCUCACUGUGGUCCAAGAAUGCCACGCACCUUUCCGUAGAUAUGCAGAUGGUAAUUAUCUUUUCUUUUGGCUUAAUCAGAUUUGGUUUGGUUUUUCCCUUUCCUGGGAUUCUUUCCUACCUUCUUCAGGCUGUCAAGCACGGGAGAGGAGACACAGUGGGAGGGAUUCAUAAGGAGGAAACAGCGUCUGGCAGGCAUGGCAGAAAGUGCUAUUAAGCAUUAGCUGGCCUCCUUGUUCAUUGUUCCAAGAGAUGGGUGUGGAGAGAGCGCUUAGUGUAGGAUCCUCUCAAAUGAAGCCUGUGUAAUCCUGUUACAGGUUGUGUUGUUACGUCCCUGAUUUGCCCCAACUACUUACUAUUAUUUCGCUUUCGUUUUCCUGUAUUUCUUUUUCUUGCAUUGACAUUAUAGACUUUGAGGACCUCAUCAGAUCAAUUUAAAAGUGAGUGUGGAAGGGAAACGAAAGUCAACAUAUUUUUAAAAGAUCUUAAAAAUAAUGCCUCUGUCUAGCAUGCCAACAAGAAUGCAUUGAUAUUGUGAACAUUUGUGAUACAUGUAUUAAUAAAUAGAGCAGUUAAAAAUGGC